RNAcentral lists this ribosomal RNA (433 nucleotides) under uncultured bacterium. Its description in RNAcentral is "partial 16S ribosomal RNA". It matches the Rfam family "Bacterial small subunit ribosomal RNA", at positions 29 to 507 of the family's 1533-position model. The record is from RNAcentral.
AACGAACGCUGGCGGCAUGCCUAACACAUGCAAGUCGAACGAGACCUUCGGGUCUAGUGGCGCACGGGUGCGUAACGCGUGGGAACCUGCCCUUAGGUUCGGAAUAACUCCCCGAAAGGGGUGCUAAUACCGGAUAAUGUCUUCGGACCAAAGAUUUAUCGCCUUUGGAUGGGCCCGCGUUGGAUUAGCUAGUUGGUAGGGUAAAAGCCUACCAAGGCGACGAUCCAUAGCUGGUCUGAGAGGAUGAUCAGCCACACUGGGACUGAGACACGGCCCAGACUCCUACGGGAGUCAGCAGUGGGGAAUAUUGGACAAUGGGCGAAAGCCUGAUCCAGCAAUGCCGCGUGAGUGAUGAAGGCCUUAGGGUUGUAAAGCUCUUUUACCCGGGAUGAUAAUGACAGUACCGGGAGAAUAAGCUCCGGCUAACUCCGUG